AUUGCGCAUGCGGGAAACCCACGCUGAGGGAAGAAUCAUGGGAAAGAGUAGAGACGGGGUUCCACCGUGUUAGCCAGGAUGGUCUCGAUUUCCUGACCUCGUCAUCCUCCCGCCUUGGCCUCCCAAAGUGCUGGGAUUACAGGCUUGAGCCACCGCGCCCCGCUCUUUCGUGUUCCAAAGGCUUUUUAAAUAAACUUCCACUCCUGUCCUGGAUUCUGCUUUAUGGCCCUCAGUCGAAUUCUUUCUUCUGAGGAGGCAAGGACUGAAGUUGCUUCUGACCAGUACAGGUACGCCGCAGGACCUGGAAGAAGUCAUGCCACGGGCCAGACCUUAACAUUCCUUUCGGCUUACCCCAGGAUUUCAGACAAAGCUUCACUUUCCUAACCAGUCACAAAUCAGAGAAUUUUUGAUUCCACCUAUGACCUGUGAGCUCCUGCUUCAAGAUAUUCCACCUUUUUUAGGCCAAACCAAUGUAUAACCUCCAAGUGUCGAUUUACACUUUCGACUGUAACUUCUGCUUUCCUGAGAUUUACCCCUGCCUUUAAAAACCCUUGCUUGUAAUCCCUCAGGGAGGCCGUGUAUUUAUUAAUCAUGAGCUGCCCAAUUCUCCUUGCUUGGUGCCCUGCAAAUAAACACCCUCUUUUCUCCCACUGCAAAA
Molecule: long non-coding RNA, 658 nt
Filed under: Homo sapiens (human)
Lineage: Eukaryota; Metazoa; Chordata; Mammalia; Primates; Hominidae
Description: PPP1R3B divergent transcript
Source: RNAcentral